AACGAACGCUGGCGGCAUGCCUAACACAUGCAAGUCGAACGAGACCUCCGGGUCUAGUGGCGCACGGGUGCGUAACGCGUGGGAACCUGCCCUUAGGUUCGGAAUAACUCCCCGAAAGGGGUGCUAAUACCGGAUAAUGUCUUCGGACCAAAGAUUUAUCGCCUUUGGAUGGGCCCGCGUUGGUUUAGCUAGGUGGUAGGGUAAAAGCCUACCAAGGCGACGAUCCAUAGCUGGUCUGAGAGGAUGAUCAGCCACACUGGGACUGGGACACGGCCCAGACUCCUACGGGAGGCAGCAGUGGGGAAUAUUGGACAAUGGGCGAAAGCCUGAUCCAGCAAUGCCGCGUGAGUGAUGAAGGCCUUAGGGUUGUAAAGCUCUUUUACCCGGGAUGAUAAUGACAGUACCGGGAGAAUAAGCUCCGGCUAACUCCGU
RNAcentral lists this ribosomal RNA (432 nucleotides) under uncultured bacterium. RNAcentral's name for it is "partial 16S ribosomal RNA". It matches the Rfam family "Bacterial small subunit ribosomal RNA", at positions 29 to 506 of the family's 1533-position model. The record is from RNAcentral.